GUCACCGCUGGCUACCGUGGCGUCCGCAUCACCAACUUCACCACAUCCUGGCGCAACGGCUUGGCCUUCUGUGCCAUCCUGCACCGAUUCUACCCAGACAAGAUUGACUAUGCCUCGCUAGACCCACUCAACAUCAAGCAGAACAACAAGCAGCUCCUACUGGAGGAGCUGGUGUCGCUGGUGAACCAGCGCGACGAGCUAGUCCGGGACUUGGACCACAAGGAGCGGAUCGCCCUGGAGGAGGACGAGCGCCUGGAGCGCGGCCUGGAACAGCGGCGCCGCAAGCUGAGCCGGCAGUUGAGCCGGCGGGAACGCUGCGUGCUGAGCUGAGGCCGCCGGCCCGGGUGGCCCAUAACUUCUCGCGCCCCCGGCUUCCGCAGCCGUCCCGGGUCUGCGCUGCGGAGGACCCGGCCGUCCCGGAGGCCGUGCGCGUGUCCGCUAGGGGCCGCCGGCGCCCUUCCCGGUACGGGGCAGGGCGGAUCCCCGACCU
Molecule: small RNA, 490 nt
Filed under: Pongo abelii (Sumatran orangutan)
Lineage: Eukaryota; Metazoa; Chordata; Mammalia; Primates; Hominidae
Description: processed transcript
Source: RNAcentral